UGUGCCACGUAGGACUGGCAAGCAGGCUUAGAAAAUUAAUGAGACACAGCAUCCGAGUGUUGGCUGCAUUGAUAACAGAGCUGUAGUUCUGUCUGUGGGCAGCACAGAAUGGAAGGAGGUGCCAAGGAGAAACAAGAACUGGCUCUCAUCUCAUUAAUGUCUCUUUGGCUGCAAUCUUAUAACCACUUGUCCAGGACUAGACCUUAUAGCAUUACACCACUGGUAUCUCAAAGAAAGCCCUGCAAGGGAUUCAGAAGUGGAGCUCUAUAGCCCAAUGUCAUACGAGGCAGAUGGCUCAUCUGGAUCAACACCUGGAUCCUUUUUCUCAAACCCCUCUCAACAUUUGUUCCUUGCACAUUUGUUUGCCUGACAGAUACCUCCAGAGUUGGCAUGACAGGCAUAAAAACAGGUUGCUGUUAUUCCACGGAGCAGAAGUGCCUAUUCUGUCUCUGUGUUGUUGAUGGCAGAUGGUCUCUUCUCUUGGUUCACUCUACCCAUCAUUCCAUAACUGGUCUGUAUUGACUGUUCUACUGCUGUUUUGUGCAGAACAGCUGCCCUGUUGCUGACAGCACUGUGUCAUAAGCAAUACAUUUGGAAGGAUUUUCUCUUUUGGCAAUCAUUCGUGCCUUGAAUUCAUGUCAUCUGAAGCCACGUGCUGGAGAAAGAUGUGGAAAGAGUGACACUGCCUGGCGUUUGAUAGGAAGCUGACCACGAAUAGACAGGAAAGAAUUGUAUAGCUAAGUCUGGACGUAUCUGUGAUGUUCUGGGACAUUCCUAACAGACAUAAUGCUGAUGAGUUACAAGGAAAACAUCUGUAUGGCCAGUUGUGGUAUUAUGAAGGAAAUUCAUUCAAGGAAGAAGGGGGAUGCAGAAAUCAAAGAAGAUUCCUGGUUCUUUCUGUGUCAGUUUGAAGAGAGUGGUGGUCAAUAACCAGAAGCCAACAAUUUUGUGAGGCACCUUAUCACUCUGUUUUGGGAUUGUCAUCUUGCAGUUUUGUUGAUUAUAAGUUUGCUGUAAAGAAAACCAUGGGAUGGAGAUAUUAUGUGACAUUGAAGGCAGCUGUGUUGAUCUG
This is a long non-coding RNA of Sceloporus undulatus (fence lizard), 1072 nucleotides long. RefSeq lists it as uncharacterized. NCBI's taxonomy places the organism in Eukaryota, Metazoa, Chordata, Lepidosauria, Squamata, Phrynosomatidae. The record is from RefSeq and is a predicted model, not a curated record. The transcript has 3 exons.